AACGAAGGGGGCUAGCGUUGUUCGGAAUCACUGGGCGUAAAGCGCACGUAGGCGGACUGGUCAGUUGGGGGUGAAAUCCCGGGGCUCAACCUCGGAACUGCCUUCAAUACUGCCAGUCUUGAGUCCGAGAGAGGUGAGUGGAAUUCCUAGUGUAGAGGUGAAAUUCGUAGAUAUUAGGAAGAACACCAGUGGCUAAGGCGGCUCACUGGCUCGGUACUGACGCUGAGGUGCGAAAGCGUGGGGAGCAAACAGG
RNAcentral lists this ribosomal RNA (253 nucleotides) under uncultured bacterium. RNAcentral's name for it is "partial 16S ribosomal RNA". It matches the Rfam family "Bacterial small subunit ribosomal RNA", at positions 524 to 776 of the family's 1533-position model. The record is from RNAcentral.